AGCCUUCUGUAUGCGUGCUGAGAUUUCGUCACACACCAGACCACAAGGGCUGAUGAGACAAUAGCAUCAAAUAAAAGCG
This is a non-coding RNA of Schistosoma haematobium, 79 nucleotides long. NCBI's taxonomy places the organism in Eukaryota, Metazoa, Platyhelminthes, Trematoda, Strigeidida, Schistosomatidae. The record is from Rfam.